RNAcentral lists this ribosomal RNA (565 nucleotides) under uncultured bacterium. RNAcentral's name for it is "bacterial SSU rRNA". It matches the Rfam family "Bacterial small subunit ribosomal RNA", at positions 338 to 918 of the family's 1533-position model. The record is from RNAcentral.
CCUACGGGAGGCAGCAGUCGAGAAUAUUCGACAAUGGGCGAAAGCCUGAUCGAGCGACGCCGCGUGCAGGAAGAAGGGCUUCGGUCUGUAAACUGCUUUUAAUGGAUAAUAAGUUAUUGAAUAUCCAUGGAAUAAGGGGCUGCAAACCUCGUGCCAGCAGCCGCGGUAAUACGAGGGCCCCGAGCGUUAUCCGGAUUUAUUGGGCGUAAAGAGCGAGUAGGUGGUUUGGUGCGUCCGUUGUUAAAUGUCUCCGCUUAACGGGGUCACCGCAAUGGAUACGGCCAAACUAGAGGGUACCAGAGGCAGAUAGAACGCACGGUGUAGGGGUGAAAUCCGUUGAUAUCGUGCGGAAUACCAAAGGCGAAGGCAGUCUGCUGGAGUACUCCUGACACUCAAUCGCGAAAGCGUGGGGAGCAAAAAGGAUUAGAUACCCUUGUAGUCCACGCCCUAAACUUUGCCGACUGGCUAUUCCGAGUAUCGACCCUCGGGGUGGCGAAGCUAACGCGUUAAGUCGGCCGCCUGGGAAGUACGGCCGCAAGGCUAAAACUCAAAUGAAUUGACGGGG